This 482-nucleotide ribosomal RNA is filed under the name uncultured bacterium. Its description in RNAcentral is "bacterial SSU rRNA". It matches the Rfam family "Bacterial small subunit ribosomal RNA", at positions 92 to 572 of the family's 1533-position model. The record is from RNAcentral.
CGACCGGCGCACGGGUGAGUAACGCGUAUGUAAUCUGCCUUGUACAGAGGGAUAGCCCAGAGAAAUUUGGAUUAAUACCUCAUAGUAUUACUGAAUCGCAUGAUUUGGUAAUUAAAGCUCCGGCGGUACAAGAUGAACAUGCGUGACAUUACCUAGUUGGUAAGGUAACGGCUUACCAAGGCCACGAUGUCUAGGGGUUCUGAGAGGAUGAUCCCCCACACUGGUACUGAGACACGGACCAGACUCCUACGGGAGGCAGCAGUGAGGAAUAUUGGUCAAUGGACGCAAGUCUGAACCAGCCAUCCCGCGUGAAGGAUGACUGCCCUAUGGGUUGUAAACUUCUUUUAUAUGCAAAUAAACCUACUUUCGUGAAAGUAGCUGAAGGUAGCAUAUGAAUAAACACCGGCUAACUCCGUGCCAGCAGCCGCGGUAAUACGGAGGGUGUAAGCGUNAUCCGGAUUUAUUGGGCUUACAGGGUACGU